RNAcentral lists this ribosomal RNA (700 nucleotides) under uncultured Bacilli bacterium. RNAcentral's name for it is "bacterial SSU rRNA". It matches the Rfam family "Bacterial small subunit ribosomal RNA", at positions 62 to 748 of the family's 1533-position model. Lineage: Bacteria; Bacillati; Bacillota; Bacilli. The record is from RNAcentral.
UCCACCGGAGCUUGCUCCACCGGAAAAAGAAGAGUGGCGAACGGGUGAGUAACACGUGGGUAACCUGCCCAUCAGAAGGGGAUAACACUUGGAAACAGGUGCUAAUACCGUAUAACAAUCAAAACCGCAUGGUUUUGAUUUGAAAGGCGCUUUCGGGUGUCGCUGAUGGAUGGACCCGCGGUGCAUUAGCUAGUUGGUGAGGUAACGGCUCACCAAGGCCACGAUGCAUAGCCGACCUGAGAGGGUGAUCGGCCACAUUGGGACUGAGACACGGCCCAAACUCCUACGGGAGGCAGCAGUAGGGAAUCUUCGGCAAUGGACGAAAGUCUGACCGAGCAACGCCGCGUGAGUGAAGAAGGUUUUCGGAUCGUAAAACUCUGUUGUUAGAGAAGAACAAGGAUGAGAGUAACUGUUCAUCCCUUGACGGUAUCUAACCAGAAAGCCACGGCUAACUACGUGCCAGCAGCCGCGGUAAUACGUAGGUGGCAAGCGUUGUCCGGAUUUAUUGGGCGUAAAGCGAGCGCAGGCGGUUUCUUAAGUCUGAUGUGAAAGCCCCCGGCUCAACCGGGGAGGGUCAUUGGAAACUGGGAGACUUGAGUGCAGAAGAGGAGAGUGGAAUUCCAUGUGUAGCGGUGAAAUGCGUAGAUAUAUGGAGGAACACCAGUGGCGAAGGCGGCUCUCUGGUCUGUAACUGACGCUG